CGAUAGCGUAUAUUAAAGUUGUUGCAGUUAAAAAGCUCGUAGUUGGACCUUGGACCUGGACAGGCGGUCCGCCUCACGGCGUGUACUGUCUUGCUGGGUCUUUCCUCUUGGUGAUCUGUUGUUUCGGCAGCAGGGAACCAGGACUUUUACUUUGAAAAAAUUAGAGUGUUCAAAGCAGGCUCGACGCCGGAAUAUAUUAGCAUGGAAUAAUAAAAUAGGACGUGCGGUUCUAUUUUGUUGGUUUUUGGAAUCGCCGUAAUGAUUAAUAGGGACAGUCGGGGGCAUUAGUACUCACAUGCUAGAGGUGAAAUUCUUGGAUUUUGUGAAGACUAACUUCUGCGAAAGCAUUUGCCAAGGAUGUUUUCAUUAA
RNAcentral lists this ribosomal RNA (370 nucleotides) under uncultured eukaryote. RNAcentral describes it as "partial 18S ribosomal RNA". It matches the Rfam family "Eukaryotic small subunit ribosomal RNA", at positions 592 to 976 of the family's 1831-position model. The record is from RNAcentral.